GUUUGUUUUAUAGUCUAAAAUUUAGUGUAUGUUGGUAAAUGGCCCAUGUGAUCUUAAAAAGAAUGUGCAUUCUCUGCUGAUGGAUGAAGUGGUCCAUAAAUGUCGGUAGAUCCAAUUGAUGCUGGUGCUGCCCAGUGCAUCUAUUUCCUUCCUGAUUUAUUGUCUGUUGUGUCUGUUAAACAGAAAUAGAUUUAUGUUGAAGUGGGCAAGUAUAAUGGUGCAUUAAUCUAUUUCUUAUUACCCCUCUCUCUUUUUUUUGCCUCACAUGCUACUGCAGUUUUUGCCAAGUACACCUUAUGGAUUAUGAUGUUUUCCUGCAAGUUUGACCCCUUUAUCAUUAUGCAAUGCCCCAUUCUACCUCUGUGAAGCUGACUUGAACCAAGAUUAAUGUAACUACUCCAGCUCUCCUUUGGCCGGGGUCGAACUUGGGUCCUUGCACUUGCAGCAGGUGGCGAAACCACUGAGCUAAAUCUCCAGCCCCUAAGAAUAUUUACAAUUUACUUUUAGAAAUUUCAAAAUAUAUAAUACUUAUUGCUAACUAUAAUCAUGCUAUGUAAUAGAUCUCAUGAUCUUAUUAUUUCUAUCCAACUGAAACUUUGUACCUUUUAAUCAGCUUCUUUGCAGUGCCUUCCUCUGAUAACCUUCAUUCUAUUCUUAUGAGUUUGACAUUUUUAGAUCUUAUAUAUAAGACCAUACAUUAUUUGUCUUCCUGAGCUUGACUUAUUCCCUUAACAUAAUGUCCUCUAGAUUCAACCAUGUGUUCCCAAAUUACAUGAUUGUCUUUAAGGCUACAUAAUAUUCCCUGUGUAGUUACACUGUAAUUUCUUUUUUCAAAAAUCUAUCAUGAUUAUAUCCUUUAAUGGAUGUGCUAUACUGUUUACAUUAAAAUGAUUACUGAUAUAGUUGCUUUUUAAUAUUUUCUUUUUCUGAGUUCUUUUUUUGUCUUCUCCUGUUUCAUGAUUCAGCUUUCUAUUCUCUCAGUAUAUCAAUUAUAUAUCUUUAAACAAUUUUGAUGAUUGGCCUAGACAGUGAGAUACACUCAUAACCAAUAAGUCCUUUCUCAAAUAGCAUUAUAACACCUCACUGUUCCUACGUUGAUUUAUAACUGUAUUCCCAAUUCCUCCCUUUCAAUCUUUAUGAAAUGGCUUUCAUUCUUCUCACUUAUCUGUAGGCUAUAAUCACCUAAUAUUACUAUUAUUAUUUUGAACAAACAUAAAGAAAUGACAUGAGUAUGAUGCAUGUAAAACACUUCAAAAAUGUCUAAGAGAUUGAGAAGCUAAACAUCCAGCC
RNAcentral lists this long non-coding RNA (1290 nucleotides) under Heterocephalus glaber (naked mole-rat). RNAcentral's name for it is "lncRNA (ENSHGLG00000046630.1)". The record is from RNAcentral. Lineage: Eukaryota; Metazoa; Chordata; Mammalia; Rodentia; Bathyergidae.